UACGGAGGGUGCGAGCGUUGUCCGGAAUCAUUGGGCGUAAAGCGCGCGUAGGCGGCCCGGUAAGUCCGCUGUGAAAGUCAAAGGCUCAACCUUUGAAUGUCAGCGGAUACUGCCGGGCUAGAGUCCGGAAGAGGCGAGUGGAACUCCUGGUGUAGCGGUGGAAUGCGCAGAUAUCAGGAGGAACACCAAUGGCGAAGGCAGCACUCUGGGACGUGACUGACGCUGAGACGCGAAAGCGUGGGGAGCAAACAGG
Molecule: ribosomal RNA, 253 nt
Filed under: uncultured bacterium
Lineage: Bacteria
Description: partial 16S ribosomal RNA
Rfam family: Bacterial small subunit ribosomal RNA
Source: RNAcentral